GCGAAGCUCCUGAUCGAAGCCCCAGUAAACGGCGGCCGUAACUAUAACGGUCCUAAGGUAGCGAAAUUCCUUGUCGGGUAAGUUCCGACCUGCACGAAUGGCGUAAUGAUGGCCAGGCUGUCUCCACCCGAGACUCAGUGAAAUUGAACUCGCUGUGAAGAUGCAGUGUACCCGCGGCAAGACGGAAAGACCCCGUGAACCUUUACUAUAGCUUGACACUGAACAUUGAGCCUUGAUGUGUAGGAUAGGUGGGAGGCUUUGAAGUGUGGACGCCAGUCUGCAUGGAGCCAACCUUGAAAUACCACCCUUUAACGUUUGAUGUUCUAACCUAGGCCCAUAAACUGGGUCGGGGACCGUGUCUGGUGGGUAGUUUGACUGGGGCGGUCUCCUCCUAAAGAGUAACGGAGGAGCACGAAGGUUGGCUAAGCAUGGUCGGACAUCAUGCGGUUAGUGCAAAGGCAUAAGCCAGCUUGACUGCGAGAGUGACGGCUCGAGCAGGUACGAAAGUAGGUCUUAGUGAUCCGGUGGUUCUGAAUGGAAGGGCCAUCGCUCAACGGAUAAAAGGUACUCCGGGGAUAACAGGCUGAUACCGCCCAAGAGUUCAUAUCGACGGCGGUGUUUGGCACCUCGAUGUCGGCUCAUCACAUCCUGGGGCUGAAGUAGGUCCCAAGGGUAUGGCUGUUCGCCAUUUAAAGUGGUACGCGAGCUGGGUUUAGAACGUCGUGAGACAGUUCGGUCCCUAUCUGCCGUGGGCGUUGGAAGAUUGAGAGGGGUUGCUCCUAGUACGAGAGGACCGGAGUGAACGCACCACUGGUGUUCGGGUUGUCAUGCCAAUGGCAUUGCCCGGUAGCUAAGUGCGGAAGAGAUAACCGCUGAAAGCAUCUAAGCGGGAAACUUGCCUCGAGAUGAGUCUUCCCUGU
RNAcentral lists this ribosomal RNA (920 nucleotides) under Proteus mirabilis. RNAcentral's name for it is "bacterial LSU rRNA". It matches the Rfam family "Bacterial large subunit ribosomal RNA", at positions 1899 to 2818 of the family's 2925-position model. Lineage: Bacteria; Pseudomonadati; Pseudomonadota; Gammaproteobacteria; Enterobacterales; Morganellaceae. The record is from RNAcentral.